This 286-nucleotide long non-coding RNA is filed under the name Citrus x clementina. RNAcentral's name for it is "Citrus clementina (C. clementina) long non-coding RNA (CCLE_LNC006277)". Lineage: Eukaryota; Viridiplantae; Streptophyta; Magnoliopsida; Sapindales; Rutaceae. The record is from RNAcentral.
UCUUCUUCAUUUUCUUCUAAUUAUGGAUUACCUAUUUUUCUAUAAUUAUUAAACCUCUGUGUAACUUAAUUAUGUAAUUCUUAGUGCUUUCUAUCUUGCUAUCUAUUGCAUUUUCUUCCUCCGAUAGUGAGUCAAAAAAUGCAAUAUCUACUUCUUUUUCUAUUGCUAGUGAUUUCUUUUCGUAAGGCAAAAUAUGCAUCUCAAAUUUAGGUUGUACAAAUGUUGAUUUUUUAAAGAAAUUUAUCCCAUUAGUAGUUGUUAAUAUACUACUAUUAUCUUCUAAUAU